Molecule: long non-coding RNA, 704 nt
Filed under: Mytilus galloprovincialis (Mediterranean mussel)
Lineage: Eukaryota; Metazoa; Mollusca; Bivalvia; Mytilida; Mytilidae
Source: RNAcentral
AAAAAUAGUUACAGACCUUCUAAAAUUCAAACUGACCACACGCACGAUACACGCACGCACGAUACACGCACGGUGAAUGCACGAUACACGCACGGUACACGCACGAUACACGAUACACGCACGAUGAGCGAUGAGCGUUACACGGAGGAUUAACGCAAAAUGAAUGAUGAAUGAUGAACGCACGAUACACGCACGAUGCACGAUGAAUGAUAAAUACACGAUACACGCACGAUACACGCACGAUACACGCACGAUACACGCACGUUGAAUGAUUCAUUGACGACUGAACAACGAACGCUUUUUACACGAUUCUCAAAGCUAUUUUAUUUAGAAUAGUAUUUAAAAUUGAUAUGCAUUUUCAUUAAAGGCAAUACUUGUAGCUGUUUUGCCGAUACCAGCAUAAUAGAUAAUAUGCUAUUUUGCCAGCUCAGAUUCAAAUAACUUAAUUAAAGUCGGCUAUUUUAUAGGCACCGGAAAUAUUUGUGAACUUGGACAGAAGCUCAUAACAAUCAAAAUAUAGUGUCUUGAUUUUGUUCAGCCUCACCCUGAGAGUUCAAGUUUACGGCAAACGAAGGCGAGACAUUGUGUUCCGCGAAACCCUUACUAAUUUUAUUUCAUACAGUUAAAAAUCGAAAUUUUAUUUUUAUGCAUACAAUGUCCGACGCAUUAUAUCUACAGAGAGUGACUGGUUCUAGAAAUUAUUU